RNAcentral lists this ribosomal RNA (439 nucleotides) under uncultured bacterium. RNAcentral describes it as "partial 16S ribosomal RNA". It matches the Rfam family "Bacterial small subunit ribosomal RNA", at positions 339 to 795 of the family's 1533-position model. The record is from RNAcentral.
CUACGGGAGGCACCAGUGAGGAAUAUUGCACAAUGGGGGGAACCCUGAUGCAGCAACGCCGCGUGGAGGAUGGCGCAUUUCGGUGUGUAAACUCCUUUUAUAUGUCAAGAAAAUGACGGUAGCAUAUGAAUAAGCACCGGCUAACUCCGUGCCAGCAGCCGCGGUAAUACGGAGGGUGCAAGCGUUACUCGGAAUCACUGGGCGUAAAGGACGCGUAGGCGGGUUGGAAAGUCAGGUGUGAAAUCCUACAGCUUAACUGUAGAACUGCACUUGAAACUUCUAAUCUAGAGUAUGGGAGGGGGAGAUGGAAUUAGUGGUGUAGGGGUAAAAUCCGUAGAUAUCACUAGGAAUACCUAAAGCGAAGGCGAUCCCCUGGAACAUUACUGACGCUAAGGCGUGAAAGCGUGGGGAGCAAACAGGAUUAGAUACCCCGGUAGUC